ACAGGAGGCGAGCGUUAUCCGGAUUUACUGGGCGUAAAGCGCACGCAGGUGGCCUGGUAAGUUGGCCGUGAAAGCUCCCGGCUUAACUGGGAGAGGUCGGUCAAGACUGCUGGGCUUGAGGUUGGGAGAGGGGUGUGGAAUUCCCGGUGUAGUGGUGGAAUGCGUAGAUAUCGGGAGGAACACCAGUGGCGAAGGCGGCACCCUGGCCCACACCUGACGCUGAGGUGCGAAAGCGUGGGGAGCAAACAGG
RNAcentral lists this ribosomal RNA (250 nucleotides) under uncultured bacterium. Its description in RNAcentral is "partial 16S ribosomal RNA". It matches the Rfam family "Bacterial small subunit ribosomal RNA", at positions 527 to 776 of the family's 1533-position model. The record is from RNAcentral.